UGGGGAAUUUUGGACAAUGGGCGCAAGCCUGAUCCAGCCAUGCCGCGUGCGGGAAGAAGGCCUUCGGGUUGUAAACCGCUUUUGUCAGGGAAGAAAUCUUCUGAGUUAAUACCUCGGGAGGAUGACGGUACCUGAAGAAUAAGCACCGGCUAACUACGUGCCAGCAGCCGCGGUAAUACGUAGGGUGCAAGCGUUAAUCGGAAUUACUGGGCGUAAAGCGUGCGCAGGCGGUUUUGUAAGACAGAGGUGAAAUCCCCGGGCUCAACCUGGGAACUGCCUUUGUGACUGCAAGGCUUGAGUGCGGCAGAGGGGGAUGGAAUUCCGCGUGUAGCAGUGAAAUGCGUAGAUAUGCGGAGGAACACCGAUGGCGAAGGCAAUCCCCUGGGCCUGCACUGACGCUCAUGCACGAAAGCGUGGGGAGCAAACAGGAUUAGAUACCCUGGUAGUCCACGCCCUAAAACGAUGUCAACUGGUUGUUGGGAAGGUUCCUUCUCAGUAACGUAGCUAACGCGUGAAGUUGACCGCCUGGGGAGUACGGCCGCAAGGUUGAAACUUAAAUGAAUUGACGGGGUCAUAGCUGUUUCC
Molecule: ribosomal RNA, 585 nt
Filed under: uncultured bacterium
Lineage: Bacteria
Description: partial 16S ribosomal RNA
Rfam family: Bacterial small subunit ribosomal RNA
Source: RNAcentral